CACAGAAGGCAGGACGUCCUGACCAUGUCCACCAUGGCCUGGUCCCGUCUGCUUCUCACCCUGGUCGCUCUCUGCACAGGAUCCUGGGCCCAGGAUGUGCUGACUCAGCCACCCUCCGUGUCCGGGUCCCUAGGUCAGACGGUCACCAUCUCCUGCACUGGGAGCAGCAACAACAUUGGCUAUGGCAAUUAUCUGAACUGGUACCAACAGAUCCCAGGAUCGGGCCCCAGAAGCCUUAUCUAUGGUACUACCAUUCGAUACUCGGGUGUCCCCGACCGGUUCUCCGGCUCCAGUUCUGGCAACACAGCCACCCUGACCAUCACUUCGCUCCAGGCUGAAGACGAGGGGGACUAUUACUGUGCAACUUACGGAAGUAGUAGCUAUGAAGAUUGCACAGUGCUCCAGGCCUGGGGGGAAGUGAGACAAUAACCUGCUCUGCUCCUGACAUGGGCCUCCCAGGGCUGAACCAUCUCUGUCAAAGCAGACACUGUAGCAGCAGCUGUGAAAUGGACAUAAAUCUUAUUUCAUUUCACACGGUGGGAACAAGAACGUUUGGCUGUACUUCACAGCUUACUGCCAAAGUUUUCACCCCAACGCCCUCAGCUGCUCUUCCCAGUCCUUCUGCUCCACGUGAGACCAUUAAGUGGAAAGCAAAUUUGUUCAAACCAGCAAUUUCAAACCAACUGAU
Non-coding RNA from Dama dama (fallow deer), 688 nucleotides. The record is from the annotation of a RefSeq genome assembly. NCBI's taxonomy places the organism in Eukaryota, Metazoa, Chordata, Mammalia, Artiodactyla, Cervidae.